AUUGAACGCUGGCGGCAGGCCUAACACAUGCAAGUCGAACGGUAACAGGAGGCCGCUUGCUGCUUCGCUGACGAGUGGCGGACGGGUGAGUAAUGUCUGGGAAGCUGCCUGUUGGAGGGGGAUAACUACUGGAAACGGUAGCUACUACCGCAUAAUGUCGCAAGCCCAAAGAGGGGGACCUUCGGGCCUCUUGCCAUCGGAUGUGCCCAGAUGGGAUUAGCUUGUUGGUGGGGUAACGGCUCACCAAGGCGACGAUCCCUAGCUGGUCUGAGAGGAUGACCAGCCACACUGGGACUGAGACACGGUCCAGACUCCUACGGGAGGCAGCAGUGGGGAAUAUUGCACAAUGGGCGCAAGCCUGAUGCAGCCAUGCCGCGUGUAUGAAGAAGGCCUUCGGGUUGUAAAGUACUUUCAGCGGGGAGGAAGGGAGUAAAGUUAAUACCUUUGCUCAUUGACGUUACCCGCAGAAGAAGCACCGGCUAACUCCGUG
Molecule: ribosomal RNA, 490 nt
Filed under: uncultured bacterium
Lineage: Bacteria
Description: partial 16S ribosomal RNA
Rfam family: Bacterial small subunit ribosomal RNA
Source: RNAcentral